Molecule: long non-coding RNA, 435 nt
Filed under: Cyanistes caeruleus (blue tit)
Lineage: Eukaryota; Metazoa; Chordata; Aves; Passeriformes; Paridae
Description: lncRNA (ENSCCEG00000005625.1)
Source: RNAcentral
UCCACAUAUUUUAGGUCAAAGCAAAAAGAUGUCUCUCUGCUGAUGUCAUAGCUCAUAGUCAUAACAAACUCAUGGCAAACUGGACUGGAUUCUUUGGGGAAAGAACGUGUUUAGCCACAGAGUAACUGAAAGUCUUAGGUUGGGAACACAAGAAAAGAAAAGAAAUUCCUAUCUUGAUGAACUACAUCAAAAUAUGUGGAUUGACUGUAACUCUUCUACAUCAGAAAGUAAGUUGAGAGCUUGAGGGCUCUAAGUUUCAGAUAAAAUUAUAAUACCAUAAUUGCAAAAAUUAGUAGUAAUUCUGUUAUUUAGUCCUAUGUGUGAUGAUAAGUAACACAGAAAGCCCAUCUCAUUUCAAAACUGAAAGACCUUUCUGCUGGUCCUCUUUAACUUGCAGUGAGGACUAGAGAAGCCUUCUGUUUCACUCCUCAGCAC